CCUACGGGUGGCAGCAGUGAGGAAUAUUGGUCAAUGGGCGUAAGCCUGAACCAGCCAAGUCGCGUGAGGGAUGAAGGUUCUAUGGAUCGUAAACCUCUUUUAUAAGGGAAUAAAGUGUGGGACGUGUCCUGUUUUGUAUGUACCUUAUGAAUAAGGAUCGGCUAACUCCGUGCCAGCAGCCGCGGUAAUACGGAGGAUCCGAGCGUUAUCAGGAUUUAUUGGGUUUAAAGGGUGCGUAGGCGGCCUUUUAAGUCAGCGGUGAAAGUCUGUGGCUCAACCAUAGAAUUGCCGUUGAAACUGGGAGGCUUGAGGAUGUUUGAGGCAGGCGGAAUGCGUGGUGUAGCGGUGAAAUGCUUAGAUAUUACGCAGAACCCCGAUUGCGAAGGCAGCCUGCCAAGCCAUGACUGACGCUGAUGCACGAAAGCGUGGGGAUCAAACAGGAUUAGAUACCCCAGUAGUC
Molecule: ribosomal RNA, 460 nt
Filed under: uncultured bacterium
Lineage: Bacteria
Description: partial 16S ribosomal RNA
Rfam family: Bacterial small subunit ribosomal RNA
Source: RNAcentral